Molecule: long non-coding RNA, 571 nt
Organism: Aegilops tauschii subsp. strangulata
Lineage: Eukaryota; Viridiplantae; Streptophyta; Magnoliopsida; Poales; Poaceae
Source: RefSeq, a predicted model, not a curated record
GCACCCCCACCUCAUCCUUUUCUUUACAGUACCGUACCCACCUCCACCUUAUCUGUGUCCCCUCCUUCCAAAUAUAUCACACAGCCUAAAAUACCAUAUUUUUUUCUCCCGGCCACCUCUCCCCCUGAUUCUCUAUGUCUCACACCACAGCGCCGCCGCCGCGAACUCCGAUUCCGGGAGGCUCCGGCGGACUCCCAACCCACUGCUCACGAAUCUCCCCGACUCCCUCUAUGUUCUCCCCCGAACCUUCGCCCCCGUCCAUCGCGCCCCUGCACGCACGCCACGCAACAACCCCAGUCGCCAAGCGUCGCCGGCGUGGCUCUGACAGCUCUGGUUUAUCAGCCAACUACCAUUGCAUCACCUCACGCGCAGCAGCCGGCUCGGGAUUGACAUUGAUUUAUCUACUACACUAGUGCAUUGCAAUAAAGAGAAAUCCAUGAAUAUGCAGAAGAAGCCUUGAGAAUUAUUUAAGUCAGUUGUUUAUAGCGUGGUGAGGAUCCUUUCGAUAGUUCAUGUUGUUCAUAUUAAUGUAAGGAAAACAUGAAUUUGUAUAUUCUAUUUUUUCGGUUGA